Molecule: ribosomal RNA, 408 nt
Filed under: uncultured bacterium
Lineage: Bacteria
Description: bacterial SSU rRNA
Rfam family: Bacterial small subunit ribosomal RNA
Source: RNAcentral
UAGCCUUGACAUUGAAGAAACACACUAGAGAUAGAGUGGUGCCCUUCGGGGAAUCUGAAAACAGGUGCUGCACGGCUGUCGUCAGCUCGUGUCGUGAGAUGUUGGGUUAAGUCCCGCAACGAGCGCAACCCUCGUCCUUAGUUGCCAGCAGGUUAAGCUGGGCACUUUAAGGAGACUGCCUUCGCAAGAAGGAGGAAGGUGAGGACGACGUCAAGUCAUCAUGGCCCUUAUGGCUAGGGCUACACACGUGCUACAAUGGGGCGUACAGAGAGUUGCGAUACCGCGAGGUGGAGCCAAUCUCAUAAAGCGUCUCUCAGUUCGGAUUGAAGUCUGCAACUCGACUUCAUGAAGCUGGAAUCACUAGUAAUCGUAGAUCAGCAAUGCUACGGUGAAUACGUUCCCGGGUCU